AGGGUGUAAACGCUGCCGACUUGGUGUUGGAGGCCCUUCGGGGGCGAUUCAGUGCCGGAGAGAAGUUGUUAAGUCGGCCACUUGGGGAGUACGUCCGCAAGGAUGAAACUUAAAGGAAUUGGCGGGGGAGCACCGCAACGGGAGGAGCGUGCGGUUUAAUUGGAUUCAACACCGGAAAACUCACCAAGGGCGACUGUUACAUGAAAGCCAGGCUAAUGACCUUGCUUGAUUUUCAGAGAGGAGGUGCAUGGCGUCAGUGACU
RNAcentral lists this ribosomal RNA (262 nucleotides) under uncultured archaeon. RNAcentral's name for it is "partial 16S ribosomal RNA". It matches the Rfam family "Archaeal small subunit ribosomal RNA", at positions 748 to 1008 of the family's 1478-position model. The record is from RNAcentral.